RNAcentral lists this ribosomal RNA (2908 nucleotides) under Salmonella enterica subsp. enterica serovar Typhimurium. RNAcentral describes it as "23S ribosomal RNA". It matches the Rfam family "Bacterial large subunit ribosomal RNA". Lineage: Bacteria; Pseudomonadati; Pseudomonadota; Gammaproteobacteria; Enterobacterales; Enterobacteriaceae. The record is from RNAcentral.
GGUUAAGCGACUAAGCGUACACGGUGGAUGCCCUGGCAGUCAGAGGCGAUGAAGGACGUGCUAAUCUGCGAUAAGCGCCGGUAAGGUGAUAUGAACCGUUAUAACCGGCGAUUUCCGAAUGGGGAAACCCAGUGUGAUUCGUCACACUAUCAUUAACUGAAUCCAUAGGUUAAUGAGGCGAACCGGGGGAACUGAAACAUCUAAGUACCCCGAGGAAAAGAAAUCAACCGAGAUUCCCCCAGUAGCGGCGAGCGAACGGGGAGGAGCCCAGAGCCUGAAUCAGCAUGUGUGUUAGUGGAAGCGUCUGGAAAGGCGCGCGAUACAGGGUGACAGCCCCGUACACAAAAGCGCAUGUGCUGUGAGCUCGAUGAGUAGGGCGGGACACGUGGUAUCCUGUCUGAAUAUGGGGGGACCAUCCUCCAAGGCUAAAUACUCCUGACUGACCGAUAGUGAACCAGUACCGUGAGGGAAAGGCGAAAAGAACCCCGGCGAGGGGAGUGAAAAAGAACCUGAAACCGUGUACGUACAAGCAGUGGGAGCACAGGUUUACCUGUGUGACUGCGUACCUUUUGUAUAAUGGGUCAGCGACUUAUAUUCUGUAGCAAGGUUAACCGUAUAGGGGAGCCGUAGGGAAACCGAGUCUUAACCGGGCGUUAAGUUGCAGGGUAUAGACCCGAAACCCGGUGAUCUAGCCAUGGGCAGGUUGAAGGUUGGGUAACACUAACUGGAGGACCGAACCGACUAAUGUUGAAAAAUUAGCGGAUGACCUGUGGCUGGGGGUGAAAGGCCAAUCAAACCGGGAGAUAGCUGGUUCUCCCCGAAAGCUAUUUAGGUAGCGCCUCGUGAAUUCAUCUCCGGGGGUAGAGCACUGUUUCGGCUAGGGGGCCAUCCCGGCUUACCAACCCGAUGCAAACUGCGAAUACCGGAGAAUGUUAUCACGGGAGACACACGGCGGGUGCUAACGUCCGUCGUGAAGAGGGAAACAACCCAGACCGCCAGCUAAGGUCCCAAAGUCAUGGUUAAGUGGGAAACGAUGUGGGAAGGCCCAGACAGCCAGGAUGUUGGCUUAGAAGCAGCCAUCAUUUAAAGAAAGCGUAAUAGCUCACUGGUCGAGUCGGCCUGCGCGGAAGAUGUAACGGGGCUAAACCAUGCACCGAAGCUGCGGCAGCGACGCUGAUGCGUUGUUGGGUAGGGGAGCGUUCUGUAAGCCUGCGAAGGUGACCUGUGAGGGUUGCUGGAGGUAUCAGAAGUGCGAAUGCUGACAUAAGUAACGAUAAAGCGGGUGAAAAGCCCGCUCGCCGGAAGACCAAGGGUUCCUGUCCAACGUUAAUCGGGGCAGGGUGAGUCGACCCCUAAGGCGAGGCCGAAAGGCGUAGUCGAUGGGAAACGGGUUAAUAUUCCCGUACUUGGUGUUACUGCGAAGGGGGGACGGAGAAGGCUAUGUUGGCCGGGCGACGGUUGUCCCGGUUUAAGCGUGUAGGUGUGUGUUCCAGGUAAAUCCGGUUCACUUUAACACUGAGGCGUGACGACGAGGCACUACGGUGCUGAAGCAACAAAUGCCCUGCUUCCAGGAAAAGCCUCUAAGCAUCAGGUAACAUCAAAUCGUACCCCAAACCGACACAGGUGGUCAGGUAGAGAAUACCAAGGCGCUUGAGAGAACUCGGGUGAAGGAACUAGGCAAAAUGGUGCCGUAACUUCGGGAGAAGGCACGCUGACACGUAGGUGAAGUGAUUUACUCACGGAGCUGAAGUCAGUCGAAGAUACCAGCUGGCUGCAACUGUUUAUUAAAAACACAGCACUGUGCAAACACGAAAGUGGACGUAUACGGUGUGACGCCUGCCCGGUGCCGGAAGGUUAAUUGAUGGGGUCAGCGCAAGCGAAGCUCCUGAUCGAAGCCCCGGUAAACGGCGGCCGUAACUAUAACGGUCCUAAGGUAGCGAAAUUCCUUGUCGGGUAAGUUCCGACCUGCACGAAUGGCGUAAUGAUGGCCAGGCUGUCUCCACCCGAGACUCAGUGAAAUUGAACUCGCUGUGAAGAUGCAGUGUACCCGCGGCAAGACGGAAAGACCCCGUGAACCUUUACUAUAGCUUGACACUGAACAUUGAGCCUUGAUGUGUAGGAUAGGUGGGAGGCUUUGAAGUGUGGACGCCAGUCUGCAUGGAGCCGACCUUGAAAUACCACCCUUUAAUGUUUGAUGUUCUAACGUGGACCCGUAAUCCGGGUUGCGGACAGUGUCUGGUGGGUAGUUUGACUGGGGCGGUCUCCUCCUAAAGAGUAACGGAGGAGCACGAAGGUUGGCUAAUCCUGGUCGGACAUCAGGAGGUUAGUGCAAUGGCAUAAGCCAGCUUGACUGCGAGCGUGACGGCGCGAGCAGGUGCGAAAGCAGGUCAUAGUGAUCCGGUGGUUCUGAAUGGAAGGGCCAUCGCUCAACGGAUAAAAGGUACUCCGGGGAUAACAGGCUGAUACCGCCCAAGAGUUCAUAUCGACGGCGGUGUUUGGCACCUCGAUGUCGGCUCAUCACAUCCUGGGGCUGAAGUAGGUCCCAAGGGUAUGGCUGUUCGCCAUUUAAAGUGGUACGCGAGCUGGGUUUAGAACGUCGUGAGACAGUUCGGUCCCUAUCUGCCGUGGGCGCUGGAGAACUGAGGGGGGCUGCUCCUAGUACGAGAGGACCGGAGUGGACGCAUCACUGGUGUUCGGGUUGUCAUGCCAAUGGCACUGCCCGGUAGCUAAAUGCGGAAGAGAUAAGUGCUGAAAGCAUCUAAGCACGAAACUUGCCCCGAGAUGAGUUCUCCCUGAGACUUAGAGUCUCCUGAAGGAACGUUGAAGACGACGACGUUGAUAGGCCGGGUGUGUAAGCGCAGCGAUGCGUUGAGCUAACCGGUACUAAUGAACCGUGAGGCUUAACCUU